GAUGAAGAACGUAGCGAAAUGCGAUAAGUAGUGUGAAUUGCAGAAUUCAGUGAAUCAUCGAAUCUUUGAACGCACAUUGCGCCCCUUGGUAUUCCAUGGGGCAUGCCUGUUCGAGCGUCAUUUGUACCCUCAAGCUUUGCUUGGUGUUGGGCGUCUUGUCGUAUUACGACUCGCCUUAAAUACAUUGGCAGCCAGCACUUUGGCCUAGGAGCGCAGCACAUUUUGCGAUCGUAGCCCGUUGUACUGGCGUCCAUCAAGAACAUUUACCACGUUUGACCUCGGAUCAGGUAGGGAUACCCGCUGAACUUAAGCAUAUCAAUAAGCGGAGGA
RNAcentral lists this unclassified non-coding RNA (330 nucleotides) under soil metagenome. Its description in RNAcentral is "partial contains 5.8S ribosomal RNA, internal transcribed spacer 2, and large subunit ribosomal RNA". The stretch from base 1 to 120 matches the Rfam family "5.8S ribosomal RNA", at positions 35 to 154 of the family's 154-position model. The record is from RNAcentral.